RNAcentral lists this ribosomal RNA (438 nucleotides) under Sarasinula linguaeformis. RNAcentral describes it as "partial 16S ribosomal RNA". It matches the Rfam family "Bacterial large subunit ribosomal RNA", at positions 1797 to 2619 of the family's 2925-position model. The record is from RNAcentral. Lineage: Eukaryota; Metazoa; Mollusca; Gastropoda; Systellommatophora; Veronicellidae.
CGCCUGUUUUUACAAAAACAUAGCCUGUAGAWAYKMUUAUAGGUGUGUCCUGCCCGGUGAUAUUUAACGGCCGCAGUACUCUGACUGUGCAAAGGUAGCAUAAUCAAUUGGCUUUUAAUUGGAGUCUAGUAUGAAUGGAUUUACGUAAAAGUUCUGUCUCAACAAAAUUUUUUUUAAAUUUUUUAAAAGGUGAAAAAACCUUUAGUAUCUAAAAGACGAGAAGACCCUAAGAAUUUUAAAAAAAUUAAUCUAUCUUUUUUGCUGGGGCGGCAACGGAUCAUGAAACAUCCGUAUAAUCGAGGUUUUCGUAUUAUAAAUUACCUUAGGGAUAACAGCACAAUUGUUACCUCGAUGUUGGACUAGGAACCUUAAGGUUAGAUACUCUAAAGGUGAGUUCUGUUCGAACUUAUUCUCCUACAUGAUCUGUUWUCRSACCGG